This 375-nucleotide ribosomal RNA is filed under the name Triticum aestivum (bread wheat). Its description in RNAcentral is "partial small subunit ribosomal RNA". The stretch from base 1 to 123 matches the Rfam family "MIR1120/MIR1122 microRNA precursor family". The record is from RNAcentral. Lineage: Eukaryota; Viridiplantae; Streptophyta; Magnoliopsida; Poales; Poaceae.
AUGUACUCCCUCUGUCCGGAAAACUCGUCGGAAAAAUGCAUAAAAAUGGAUGUAUCUAGAACUAAAAUACUUCUAGAUACAUCCAUUCCUCCGACAAGUAUUUCGGGAUGGAGGGAGUAUAAAAUAUUGGAGCACACUCAUCACGCUCACCACCAACCCAAUCCAAUCACCAUCGUGGACCACAGACCAACCGAGCUAACUAUACUGCCAGAUCCCCUCAUCGUGCUCCUUUUGCUGCUAGCUGGCUUUGUUGUUGCCUGUCCAUGCCAGCAUCGGCCAUGGAGCUCUGCCGCCUUCCGCUGGUCCUUUUGCUCUGCUUGCUGGCGCACUCAUCCCCUCUGCUUGCACUGGGUGAGUUUGGGCAUUCCUGGUUGA